This 481-nucleotide ribosomal RNA is filed under the name uncultured bacterium. Its description in RNAcentral is "SSU rRNA". It matches the Rfam family "Bacterial small subunit ribosomal RNA", at positions 26 to 524 of the family's 1533-position model. The record is from RNAcentral.
AGGACGAACGCUGGCGGCGUGCUUAACACAUGCAAGUCGAACGGUGAAGCCCUUCGGGGUGGAUCAGUGGCGAACGGGUGAGUAACACGUGGGCAAUCUGCCCUGCAUUCUGGGACAAGCCUUGGAAACGAGGUCUAAUACCGGAUACGACGCAUCUCCGCAUGGGGUGUGCGUGGAAAGCUCCGGCGAUGCAGGAUGAGCCCGCGGCCUAUCAGCUUGUUGGUGGGGUAAUGGCCUACCAAGGCGACGACGGGUAGCCGGCCUGAGAGGGCGACCGGCCACACUGGGACUGAGACACGGCCCAGACUCCUACGGGAGGCAGCAGUGGGGAAUAUUGCACAAUGGGCGAAAGCCUGAUGCAGCGACGCCGCGUGAGGGAUGACGGCCUUCGGGUUGUAAACCUCUUCAGCAGGGAAGAAGCGCAAGUGACGGUACCUGCAGAAGAAGCACCGGCUAACUACGCGCCAGCAGCCGCGGUAAU